RNAcentral lists this ribosomal RNA (254 nucleotides) under uncultured bacterium. RNAcentral's name for it is "partial 16S ribosomal RNA". It matches the Rfam family "Bacterial small subunit ribosomal RNA", at positions 524 to 776 of the family's 1533-position model. The record is from RNAcentral.
UACGGGGGGAGCAAGCGUUGUUCGGAUUUACUGGGCGUAAAGGGCGCGUAGGCGGUCAGCACAAGUCAGUUGUGAAAUCUCCGGGCUUAACUCGGAAAGGUCAACUGAUACUGUGCGACUAGAGUGCAGAAGGGGCAACUGGAAUUCUCGGUGUAGCGGUGAAAUGCGUAGAUAUCGGGAGGAACACCAGUAGCGAAGGCGGCUCUCUGGGACGUGACUGACGCUGAGACGCGAAAGCGUGGGGAGCGAACAGG